This 454-nucleotide ribosomal RNA is filed under the name uncultured bacterium. RNAcentral's name for it is "bacterial SSU rRNA". It matches the Rfam family "Bacterial small subunit ribosomal RNA", at positions 340 to 784 of the family's 1533-position model. The record is from RNAcentral.
UACGGAAGGCAGCAGUGGGGAAUAUUGCACAAUGGGCGCAAGCCUGAUGCAGCCAUGCCGCGUGUAUGAAGAAGGCCUUCGGGUUGUAAAGUACUUUCAGCGGGGAGGAAGGGAGUAAAGUUAAUACCUUUGCUCAUUGACGUUACCCGCAGAAGAAGCACCGGCUAACUCCGUGCCAGCAGCCGCGGUAAUACGGAGGGUGCAAGCGUUAAUCGGAAUUACUGGGCGUAAAGCGCACGCAGGCGGUUUUGUUAGUCAGAUGUGAAAUCCCCGGGCUCAACCUGGGAACUGCAUCUGAUACUGGCAAGCUUGAGUCUCGUAGAGGGGGUAGAAUUCCAGGUGUAGCGGUGAAAUGCGUAGAGAUCUGGAGGAAUACCGGUGGCGAAGGCGGCCCCUGGGACGAAGACUGACGCUCAGGGUGCGAAAGCGUGGGGAGCAAACAGGGAUUAGGAUA